GACGAACGCUGGCGGCGUGCUUAACACAUGCAAGUCGAACGGAAAGGCCCUGCUUUUGUGGGGUGCUCGAGUGGCGAACGGGUGAGUAACACGUGAGUAACCUGCCCUUGACUUUGGGAUAACUUCAGGAAACUGGGGCUAAUACCGGAUAGGAGCUCCUGCUGCAUGGUGGGGGUUGGAAAGUUUCGGCGGUUGGGGAUGGACUCGCGGCUUAUCAGCUUGUUGGUGGGGUAGUGGCUUACCAAGGCUUUGACGGGUAGCCGGCCUGAGAGGGUGACCGGCCACAUUGGGACUGAGAUACGGCACAGACUCCUAAGGGAGGCAGAAGUGGGGAAGAUUGAACAAUGGGGGGAAGCCUGAUGCAGAAAGGCCGCGUGCGGGAUGACGGCCUUCGGGUUGUAAACCGCUUUCGCAUGUGACGAAGCGUGAGUGACGGUAAUGGGUAAAGAAGCACCGGCUAACUACGUG
This 468-nucleotide ribosomal RNA is filed under the name uncultured bacterium. RNAcentral's name for it is "partial 16S ribosomal RNA". It matches the Rfam family "Bacterial small subunit ribosomal RNA", at positions 28 to 507 of the family's 1533-position model. The record is from RNAcentral.